Molecule: ribosomal RNA, 367 nt
Filed under: Echinolittorina sp. 'quadricincta C'
Lineage: Eukaryota; Metazoa; Mollusca; Gastropoda; Littorinimorpha; Littorinidae
Description: Echinolittorina quadricincta C partial 12S ribosomal RNA
Source: RNAcentral
UUAGGUAUAAAUUGAUGAUGAAUUGUUUACCAGAGUACUACGAAUAAAACCGUUUAAAACUCAAAGAGCUUGGCGGUGCUUUAGACUUCUCAGGGGAACCUGUCUCGUAAUCGACAGUCCACGAAUCGACCUCACCUUUCUUUGCAAUCAGUAUGUAUACCGUCGUCGUCAGGUAACUUUUAAAAAUGUAGAAGUUAGCGAGAAAGCUUUUAAGCUUUUACGUCAGAUCAAGGUGCAGCCUAUGGAAAGGAGCGGAUGGGUUACAAUUAACACUUAUAACUACGAAUGUUAGUUUUAAAUAACUACGUGAAGGCGGACUUGAAAGUAUGAAAUAGUAUAUAAAUUGUUUGAAUUCAGCUCUGAAGCG